AGCAGCCGCGGUAAUUCCAGCUCCAAUAGCGUAUAUUAAAGUUGUUGCAGUUAAAAAGCUCGUAGUUGAAUUUCGGGGUCAAUAAGUUGGUCAUGCCAAUGGUAUGCACUGGCUUUAUUGAUUCCUACCUCUUGACGAACUGUGAUGCCAUUAAUUUGGUGUUGCAAGGAAUCAGGACUGUUACCUUGAAAAAUUAGAGUGUUUAAAGCAAGCUUACGCUUGAAUACAUUAGCAUGGAAUAAUGAAAUAGGACGUUUGAUCCUAUUUUGUUGGUUUCUAGGAUCGACGUAAUGAUUAAUAGGGAUAGUUGGGGGCAUUAGUAUUCAAUUGUCAGAGGUGAAAUUCUUGGAUUUAUUGAAGACUAACUACUGCGAAAGCAUUUGCCAAGGAUGUUUUCAUUAAUCAAGAACGAAAGUUAGGGGAUCGAAGACGAUCAGAUACCGUCGUAGUCUUAACCAUAAACUAUGCCGACUAGGGAUCGGAUGAUGUAAUUUUUAAUGACUCU
This 505-nucleotide ribosomal RNA is filed under the name uncultured Glomus. Its description in RNAcentral is "SSU rRNA". It matches the Rfam family "Eukaryotic small subunit ribosomal RNA", at positions 569 to 1078 of the family's 1831-position model. Lineage: Eukaryota; Fungi; Glomeromycota; Glomeromycetes; Glomerales; Glomeraceae. The record is from RNAcentral.